CGGGGAAGCUGGUGCCCAUCUGCAGCAUCUACGGGCGAGAGGCGGGGUACACCCUGGACAGGAGCAGCAACGCAACAAACAACCCACGUCUUGCAUGCAUGCAUAUGUUAAGCCUGUCUUCCUCUACACUGUUUACCAGCACAGGAUCCCAUGGCAGUUGCCAUAGAAACUCUACUGCUUGGCACCAGGCAAGCCGAGAGCAAGAUUCGUUGUUGAGGGGUUUCCACAGGCAAAACCAUGCAAAGAUGUAGCUGAGAGGAACAUCAGUGACUGCUUAUCAAAAGACAGGUUUAUUUCUUGAUUGACAAGUCAGUACACGCUAAGAUAUAAAACAGGCAUCAUAGAAUGGUCCAUGUUCAUGUACCUGUAGAAUCACCAGCAAGCAUCAAGAGUAUGAAACAUUGAUGUACGAAGACAAUAUUUCUUUUCCUCUGUAUGUUUUCAAACAUGUAUUUCUACAUAUGUAUCAGAAUACAACUUGGCCUGAGGCAUAAUUUGCUUAGAACCCCUUGCUCACCUCGGGGCCUCAAGCGCAAGUAGGAAAAUCAACACGUCACAAAAUAAAAUGCAUAAUCAUCUA
Long non-coding RNA from Girardinichthys multiradiatus, 580 nucleotides. RefSeq lists it as uncharacterized. The transcript is spliced from 2 exons. The record is from RefSeq and is a predicted model, not a curated record. NCBI's taxonomy places the organism in Eukaryota, Metazoa, Chordata, Actinopteri, Cyprinodontiformes, Goodeidae.